This 28-nucleotide non-coding RNA is filed under the name Mus musculus (house mouse). The record is from RNAcentral. Lineage: Eukaryota; Metazoa; Chordata; Mammalia; Rodentia; Muridae.
UGUAAGGCUCUUCUCAACUGACAACAGA